AGUUUGAUAGCUCAAUGGUAGAGCGGUUCUCUCAUAAGGAACAGGUUGAUAGUUCGAUUCUAUCUCAGACUACAA
Molecule: transfer RNA, 75 nt
Filed under: Emticicia agri
Lineage: Bacteria; Pseudomonadati; Bacteroidota; Cytophagia; Cytophagales; Leadbetterellaceae
Description: Emticicia sp. 17J42-9 tRNA-Met
Rfam family: tRNA
About the family: Transfer RNA (tRNA) molecules are approximately 80 nucleotides in length. Their secondary structure includes four short double-helical elements and three loops (D, anti-codon, and T loops).
Source: RNAcentral